RNAcentral lists this ribosomal RNA (275 nucleotides) under uncultured prokaryote. RNAcentral describes it as "partial 16S ribosomal RNA". It matches the Rfam family "Bacterial small subunit ribosomal RNA", at positions 524 to 798 of the family's 1533-position model. The record is from RNAcentral.
CACGGAGGUUGUGAGCGUUGUCCGGAAUUACUAGGCGUAAAGGGCAGGCAGGCGGAUCCAUAAGUUUAUCGUUUAAGGCGUCGGCUUAACCGGCGUAGGGCGGUAGAUACUGUGGAUCUGGAAUGCGGUUGGGGAAGACAGAAUUCCUGGUGUAGCGGUGGAAUGCGCAGAGAUCAGGAGGAAUACCGAAGGCGAAGGCAGUCUUCCAAGCCGUUAUUGACGCUCAACUGCGAAGGUGUGGGUAUCAAACAGGAUUAGAUACCCUGGUAGUCCCU